UGUAAGCGUAUACCAAAGUUGUUGCAGUUAAAACGCUCGUAGUCGGAAUUUGGCAGUUCCGGAAGUGUGCACGUCGUGUGCGCACUUUGCGGGGACUGCUUUUGUGGUCUUGCGUAGGAUGAGGCACUUUUAUUAGUGAACGUCCUCACGCAACCACUUUUUACUGUGAGAAAAUCAGAGUGCUCAAAGCAGGCAUUUGCCGUGAAUGUAUUGGCAUGGAAUAAUAGAAUAGGACUUGGUUCUAUUUUGUUGGUUUGUUGGGACUGAGUAAUGAUUAAGAGGGACAGUUGGGGGCAUUUGUAUUUCGGUGCUAGAGGUGAAAUUCUUAGAUUACCGAAAGACAAACUGCUGCGAAAGCGUCUGCCAAGGAUGUUUUCAUUGA
RNAcentral lists this ribosomal RNA (382 nucleotides) under uncultured eukaryote. RNAcentral's name for it is "partial 18S ribosomal RNA". It matches the Rfam family "Eukaryotic small subunit ribosomal RNA", at positions 592 to 976 of the family's 1831-position model. The record is from RNAcentral.